Molecule: long non-coding RNA, 725 nt
Filed under: Vigna radiata
Lineage: Eukaryota; Viridiplantae; Streptophyta; Magnoliopsida; Fabales; Fabaceae
Description: long non-coding RNA (VRAD_LNC004418)
Source: RNAcentral
AUUGAUUUCCCAGAAUUCCUGAACCUCAUGGCGAGGAAGAUGAAAGACACUGAUUCGGAGGAGGAGCUGAAGGAGGCCUUUCGUGUGUUUGACAAGGAUCAGAACGGUUUCAUCUCUGCUGCAGAGCUCCGCCAUGUGAUGACCAACCUUGGCGAGAAGCUGACCGACGAAGAGGUGGACGAGAUGAUCCGCGAGGCAGACGUUGACGGUGACGGGCAGAUCAACUAUGAGGAGUUUGUCAAAGUCAUGAUGGCCAAGUGAGGACCAACCAACCAUAACAAAAAAAUUUGAAAAGCACAUGAACAGAAAAAGGACAGGGCAGAUAAGUUUUGAUGAGAAUUCUAUUUUCAUUAGGACAAACUUCAUUUGGGGUCAUUAGUUUUUGUUGGUCGGGUUUGUUUGCUCUUAUUUAAUUGGUAUUGCUCAUUAGUGUUUCUACUUCUACUUCUACUUGUGUGCUGUGUCCCUUGUUUUAGUAGCUUCACCAUGCAUUUGUACUUCACUUGUCAUCUUUUUUGGGUUACUACUAUGAACCUCGAACAAUUGGUUGCAAUUUGUGCUUUUACAUGUGAGUGAGUGACUUAUACUGUUAAUACCAUCUUUAUGCUAUACAUGAUUGUUUGUGACCAUCUUGCAUUUCUCGACCUCACUCCAACAAUGAUGCAAUGCAAUGCAAAGCCAGUGAACCAAAACAAAACUGUAUUUUGUUUCAUUUCUCAUGUGAA